AGAGUUUGAUCCUGGCUCAGGAUGAACGCUAGCUACAGGCUUAACACAUGCAAGUCGAGGGGCAGCAUCAUCAAAGCUUGCUUUGAUGGAUGGCGACCGGCGCACGGGUGAGUAACACGUAUCCAACCUGCCGACAACACUGGGAUAGCCUUUCGAAAGAAAGAUUAAUACCGGAUGGCAUAGUUUUCCCGCAUGGGAUAAUUAUUAAAGAAUUUCGGUUGUCGAUGGGGAUGCGUUCCAUUAGGCAGUUGGCGGGGUAACGGCCACCAAACCUACGAUGGAUAGGGGUUCUGAGAGGAAGGUCCCCCCACAUUGGAACUGAGGCACGGUCCAAACUCCUACGGGAGGCA
Molecule: ribosomal RNA, 350 nt
Filed under: uncultured bacterium
Lineage: Bacteria
Description: bacterial SSU rRNA
Rfam family: Bacterial small subunit ribosomal RNA
Source: RNAcentral